GAGACAUUAGCUCAGCCGGUAGAGCACCUGACUUUUAAUCAGGGUGUCGUAGGUUCGAAUCCUACAUGUCUCACCA
Molecule: transfer RNA, 76 nt
Filed under: Paenibacillus piri
Lineage: Bacteria; Bacillati; Bacillota; Bacilli; Caryophanales; Paenibacillaceae
Description: Paenibacillus sp. MS74 tRNA-Lys
Rfam family: tRNA
About the family: Transfer RNA (tRNA) molecules are approximately 80 nucleotides in length.
Source: RNAcentral